UUUGGGUGAGACAGUCCCAGAGGCCUUGCAUGCAAGCUACUAAUACACAUACAUGCAAUGAAGAACAGCUUACACUACAGCACACACUAUACAUGCGCCUAUAUCCCUCAUUAGUGUUAAAACAGGGAAAACUUAAUAGUUUUGUUAUCAAAUGCUGAAGUUUAUCCACUACUAACAAAUAAACUCUCUGGGUUGCAGGACAACAACUUCAAAAAGAACGACACUGGUAUGACCAACCAGUGAUGAAACAACAAAUUUAGUGGUUAAGAGUCAAAUUGUGAGAUGUUUUCUGCUGAUUGAAUCAUACAAGUGAUUACUGAAGGAAGGAAAAUUCCUUUUUUGUGCUUUUAAACAUGAUCUUACGAAUUUUACCAUGUACCUGUGUUGUCCUGUCAACUUGGUGGGUUAUGAGUUGAUUAUAUGGUGAGAAAAAACACAAAAAAAGGGGGGAGAGAAGGCUGACACAGGGCCUGGCCCGGUGUUUCUCCCCUCUCUGAAUAACACAGCCAAAACAACAUCAUUUUCCUGUUCCACUGUUUUUGUUUUGUUUUUGUUUUUUCUCUUUAUGUUUAAUUACAGGCUGCUUUGCCGGUCCUGAAAGCCAAAGCUGACCUGGACUCCUGCUCUCCCCUCUACCAUCUCUGACCUUGACCCUGACCAAAUGCUGCAGCAGCUGGACCCAUAACAACAAUCUAAAAAUGACAGGACCCCAGGGCACGCUUCAGGCCGUGGUUUACCCAAAACACCAGAACAGGAAAGUGAUAAACACGCCAACAUACACAAACAUACACAUCUACACACACUGACUCAGAAUGAAGAGAAACACACACCUGAACAGACGUGCACUUGUUGAUUGAGUGAGAAAUGACACACACACACACAUCAGACAAUGUACACUCAUCAAACAUGACUGAUGCCCUGAACGCCUUGAGACAGAUCCAGCAGGCCCAAACUCAGGACUAUGUAAAUAAUACAAGUGACUGCUAAAAAGACUACUACUGCCUUUUCACUGUGCAAUACUUUUUGUUAAAAACCAACGGUGCAAUAGACUUCAAUACUUGAAAUACUUGAAAUACUUGCAAUUCCUUUGUGUUCUUAUUCUUAUUUAUUCUAUUUAUCCCUUUUUGUAUUUUCACUUUUAUUUUGUGUUUUGUAACAUGUAUCCUGCCAUGUCUAAAACUCAUGAUUAACCGUAUAAUUGUUUCCACUGUUGCUGCAUACAUAGCCGUGACAAAUGAUGAUGAUGAUGACUCUGACC
This is a long non-coding RNA of Oreochromis aureus, 1258 nucleotides long. The record is from Ensembl. Lineage: Eukaryota; Metazoa; Chordata; Actinopteri; Cichliformes; Cichlidae.